This 497-nucleotide ribosomal RNA is filed under the name uncultured bacterium. Its description in RNAcentral is "partial 16S ribosomal RNA". It matches the Rfam family "Bacterial small subunit ribosomal RNA", at positions 28 to 507 of the family's 1533-position model. The record is from RNAcentral.
GACGAACGCUGGCGGCGUGCCUAAUACAUGCAAGUUGAGCGAUGAAGAUUGGUGCUUGCACCAAUUUGAAGAGCAGCGGACGGGUGAGUAACGCGUGGGGAAUCUGCCUUGGAGCGGGGGACAACAUUUGGAAACGAAUUCUAAUACCGCAUAACAACUUUAAACAUAAGGUUUAAGUUUGAAAGAUGCAAUUGCAUCACUCAAAGAUGAUCCCGCGUUGUAUUAGCUAGUUGGUGAGGUAAAGGCUCAUCAAGGCGAUGAUACAUAGCCGACCUGAGAGGGUGGACGGCCACCUUGGGACUGGGACACGGCCCAAACUCCUUCGGGAGGGAGCAGUAGGGAAACUUCGGCAAUGGAGGGAAGUCUGACCGAGCAACGCCGCGUGAGUGGAGAAGGUUUUCGGAUCGUAAAACUCUGUUGGUAGGGAAGAACGUUGGUGAGAGUGGAAAGCUCAUCAAGUGACGGUAACUACACAGAAAGGGACGGCUAACUACGUG